RNAcentral lists this ribosomal RNA (274 nucleotides) under uncultured bacterium. RNAcentral describes it as "partial 16S ribosomal RNA". It matches the Rfam family "Bacterial small subunit ribosomal RNA", at positions 523 to 796 of the family's 1533-position model. The record is from RNAcentral.
AUACGGAGGGUGCAAGCGUUAUCCGGAUUCAUUGGGUUUAAAGGGUGCGCAGGCGGAUAUUUAAGUCAGUGGUGAAAUCCCGGGGCUCAACCUCGGAACUGCCAUUGAUACUGAAUAUCUGGAAUACGGUUGAAGUGGGCGGAAUGUAGCAUGUAGCGGUGAAAUGCAUAGAGAUGCUACAGAACACCGAUCGCGAAGGCAGCUCACUAAGCCGAUAUUGACGCUCAGGCACGAAAGCGUGGGGAGCGAACAGGAUUAGAUACCCUAGUAGUCC